UGCGUAGGGUGCAAGCGUUAAUCGGAAUUACUGGGCGUAAAGCGUGCGCAGGCGGUUGUGCAAGACAGAUGUGAAAUCCCCGGGCUUAACCUGGGAAUUGCAUUUGUGACUGCACGGCUAGAGUGUGUCAGAGGGGGGUAGAAUUCCACGUGUAGCAGUGAAAUGCGUAGAUAUGUGGAGGAAUACCGAUGGCGAAGGCAGCCCCCUGGGAUAACACUGACGCUCAUGCACGAAAGCGUGGGGAGCAAACAGG
This 253-nucleotide ribosomal RNA is filed under the name uncultured bacterium. RNAcentral's name for it is "partial 16S ribosomal RNA". It matches the Rfam family "Bacterial small subunit ribosomal RNA", at positions 524 to 776 of the family's 1533-position model. The record is from RNAcentral.